Molecule: long non-coding RNA, 590 nt
Filed under: Bos indicus x Bos taurus (hybrid cattle)
Lineage: Eukaryota; Metazoa; Chordata; Mammalia; Artiodactyla; Bovidae
Description: lncRNA (ENSBIXG00000015060.1)
Source: RNAcentral
AUGACCUCGGGGGCAAAAGUAGGGGGUCCUCAGCGCUUCCAGACCGGCUCCCAGAGACCGGAGCCCACCCGCGCCUCAGGCAGGAGGCGCGGGACUCGGGCUUCGGGCCAGACACCAGCCGGGCGCCGCCGCUCACCUCGAGCGGCCUCACCUGCCUCUCCCCGGAAACCCAGGCGCCGCCCCACCCUCCCCGCUUUCCCGGGACCCACACAGCAAUGGCGCAGCCGGAAACUGGCCCCGCGACUUCCUCAGGCCGGAUCCGGGCGAGGGCCGGCCUGUGGGCGGGUUGGGAGAGUCGCGGCUUCCGCCUUCCUGCUUCCGGCCUGGAGGCGCCGUGCGGGUCUGAUCCGAAGAUCAUGCCUGGUGGAUCCUUUCCGGAAGGAAGAAGAAGAAUAUUUAUUCCUUAAAGUGUGGAGGGCGCUUGCACCUGGGGUCCGAAAUUGAGGUGCACGGGAGUAUAUAGAAUUUAAACCUUCUCUCAGAAGUGUAUUGGUGAAGUUAAAGAAGAAGACAGCCAACCAAAGGUCAUCUGAAAUUGUGACUGGCUGAUAAUCCCAGGACAAAAUUAGAGACCACUACUCAAGCAUAAG